GGAAAAAGUUCAGUUACCUCAGGCGCCUACGGUGUGACAUACUGCUGCUCAGCAGCUGAAUUGUCAUUAAUACAUGUUAUAUACGGCGGCGAAGAGUGUUCACAGCUGGCUUCUUGGAGCAUCGAAGGUGUUAUGAGCUUAUCAAAAGAGACCCCGCGGUAACUGUGGUGGCGCAACCACAUCCCCCUGGUUGCAUAAAGUUACCCUGUUGAAGGAAAGCUGCUCGACACCUCGAGGACGUUCACGUUACAAUAAGUCUUAUUUUGUCACUGUGCCUCUCAUUGGUUGCAUACCCUGUUGAAGGAAAGCUGCUUGUCUAUGGAGGACGUUCACGUUACAAUAAGAAAGAAAAUAAUAGGUGAUGAGCCACUCAUCUCUGUAGUCAUGGACAGGUGGCCUGCAUUAUGUGAUCAGAGACAGAUAAGUGCAAAGUUCAAUAGAAUAGUCACUACAGGUUUGCUGCAGUCCAGCCGUGGUGGUGGAGGAGGAGAAAAUUGUUCUUUAUAACUUCAGAGAUGUGCUCACUGCUUUUGCUAUGCUAAUGGGAACCUACUGCCUAAACCUCCAAUAUGAAGUACUUGUUUGAAUUCCUGCAGAAGGUUGUCAUGAAGAUUAAACCUGACCACUGUUCAGCUCGGAUACACGGACUUAGAAAUAAACUGCUGAGGUAUCCUUUAUAGACUGGUGCCAAGCCUUAAAGGAAUAGUUUACUUAAAUAUGAAAAUUCUGUCAUAUUUUUCUUACUUUCAUGUCAUGCUAGGUGUAUAUGAUAUCCAUUCUUUAGUGUAACAGAGUUAUUGUGACUCUUCCUUGUUUUAUAAUGCUGUUGAUGGAUAUGUGUGAGGAAUGGAAGUCAUACACACCUAGGAUGACUUGAGGGUGAAUCAGUUAUAACAGAAUUUUCAUAUUUAAGUAAACUAUUCCUUUAACUGGAUGGAGAUGGUGUGCUGACUUGUAUAGGCGUGUUCUGAAAAGGAUAUUUAAAUGCUGGUAUAUCUGAGAGCUUUAGUUACUUGACUUUGUUAGAUUAAUUUGUAAUUUUGCUUACUUAAAUGAAAACUGUCUGAUUGUUUUGCACUGUUGAUAUUUUGUUAGCAUUGAAUAUAUCUGUUUUUAUUGCAACUAAGAACGAUUUUACUAUGUUAAUGUUCAGCGUAAUAAAUGGAGUAUUGUUUGAACCAUUCAUAUGUCAAAAUUCUUUUUAUUCAUCUUACUCUUUAUCUUUCUCCCAAUUAAACAUUGAAGAACUCCAUGUAAUAUUUAAAAAUUGAUGUUUUUUGAAAAUGUUUGUAUGUUGAAAUGCAUUUUCAAGCCAAUGUUAAAAUCUGC
This is a long non-coding RNA of Triplophysa rosa, 1329 nucleotides long. RefSeq lists it as uncharacterized. The transcript has 5 exons. NCBI's taxonomy places the organism in Eukaryota, Metazoa, Chordata, Actinopteri, Cypriniformes, Nemacheilidae. The record is from RefSeq and is a predicted model, not a curated record.